AAAUAAAUAAAUAAAUAAAAAUUCUGUUUCGUUUUUCCUCCACGUCAGAAGCAUGGCGGGACUCGAACUGUUAUAUACUUGCGUGGCGAGCUCUAUAACAACAUCUCAAGAUGCCGUUGUGUGUUUUAUCCACUGGGAAAUUGUCAAGAGUGGGUAUAAAUGUUUAGGAACUGGAGAUGAGCCUCUACAUGGAGAGAAGAAAUCAGAGUUGCUUCCUGCAGCCUGGAACACAAACAAGGAGCUGUACACACUGAGAUACAGAUCAAAUGAUGACAAGUCCAACCUGCUCCUCAAAGCCAUCACAGUUGAUUCCAGCUUGAUAUUCAACUUAAUGGAUUCAGCCACUGACAAAGUCACAGACCUGACUGUUAAUGUUAGUGAUUAUGUAAAUGAAACAAACCUACACUCAUUUGAAAGUGUGUACAAGAACAUAGAAGAUUUGGCUAAGAGGCUGAACUCAUCACUGCUACCUGCAGUGAAACUAGAGGGAAGUGUGAGGAAAGAAACAAGAGAGAAAUUCACAGCCACACAGCCCCAGCCAGACCAUGAUCCCCUUUGUAUACCUACCAGAGGUUCCCCUGCUUUGUAUCCCCCACACUGGACAGACCCACUGAAUCCAUUUUCUGCAGGGAGGGCUGACCUUGAUCCCUUUAGUGGAACAGCAGAGGGCAUGAUUGUGGAUCCAUUACGAGCAGGCUUCCCUCGUUCUGGCUUUGACCCUUCAAGUGGCAUACCUGGAGUCCUCCCUCCGGGUGCUGUGCCCCCUGGUGCUCGCUUUGACCCUUUUGGACCAGUUGGCAGACAUAGAGCUGGAGUAUGGUGUUCCCUUUGCUAUUGAGGUGUGUGGUGUCAUCAUGUCAAGAUCAUAAAAGUUCUGUAAGGCCUUCAGAAAAAAUGUUGUGGAUUCCUAUGAGUCUGGCCAGACCCUGAUCACCUGCCCCGGCCAGGCUAUGAUGACAUGUUCAUGUAGAAGAAUAUAAUUCACAUCGUGGUUCUCCUGGAUGACUUCCUGCUCCCUUAAUGUACUACAUUUCUCAUCUCUCUGCUUUGCAGUGAACAAAGGACAACAACUUCACAUCUUGCUACAUUUAUGUUUUGCUGGUUUUACCCUGUUUUGAAACUAUGUUCUCCACAGGGGCAAUUAAUUUAUGUUAAAUAAAGAGGGAGAUUGAUCCCUACUUAACUGGAAGUGGGAUGUCUUAAUUUUUGCAAAACUUCAUUGUCCCAAGUAAAUUAUACUGUGAUACCAGACUAAGUGCUAUCUAAAAGUACUGGUACUGACAUUUGUCAGUUAUUUAUGGGGUAAGCAUCAGCAGAUGUAAUGGAAAUCAAUGAGAGCAAUGGCCUUUCUCAUGUUUAGUCUAAGCAGUGUUAGUCAGAGAAAUAAAGAUGUUCAGGAGCAUCCGGCACAUGAUUCUGCAAGUCCUGUACUUACAUCUUUAUCCUGGAGACAUAGUUUAAUUUCAGGGAAUUUACCAACAUUCAGUAAAAGUCAUGAAGCCCGUAGAGUGACAAAAUGUCUUAUAAUAGUAUAUGUAGAUCUGUAAUAUUAUUUGGAAAUAGAAUAUUAUCACUUCUCGGAUUCUUUUAAGAACCUUUAUGAGCAAGAUUUAACCUCUGUUGCUGGUAGCCAAAAAAUGGGGGUACCUGAGUUUAGCACUUAAUGCAUUUUGAAGACGAUAUUUGUGACUAAAUGUGGAACUUUGUGUUUGUUUUCUUCAAUAAAGCUGAUGCACUUUA
RNA transcript from Ictalurus punctatus (channel catfish), 1740 nucleotides. It is a transcript of the gene named proteasome inhibitor subunit 1, with no coding region annotated. The transcript is spliced from 8 exons. NCBI's taxonomy places the organism in Eukaryota, Metazoa, Chordata, Actinopteri, Siluriformes, Ictaluridae. The record is from RefSeq and is marked provisional.